Molecule: unclassified non-coding RNA, 264 nt
Filed under: Hevea brasiliensis (rubber tree)
Lineage: Eukaryota; Viridiplantae; Streptophyta; Magnoliopsida; Malpighiales; Euphorbiaceae
Source: RNAcentral
GCCGUAAAUGACCUUGAGAGCAUAAACACCGCCGGUGGGACGGUGAACCACUUUAUAGACGGUGCCUCCGCAUCCACUUCCGAUUCGGCUCACUCGCUCAAAAUCCGAAAGGCUAAAAGCCUGACGCUUCUGAGGAUGAGGGUCCGGCGGGCGGUUGGCGUUGUGGAGUUGACUGGUGGAAGGAGGAUGCGCAGAGUUGGAGGAGGUGGGAGGCAAAGGGAGAGGAACAGCCAAAGACGUAUUGUCCCUCUGCGGAAGCUGAAG